UGGGGAAUUUUGGACAAUGGGCGAAAGCCUGAUCCAGCAAUGCCGCGUGUGUGAAGAAGGCCUUCGGGUUGUAAAGCACUUUUGUCCGGAAAGAAAUCCUUGGCUCUAAUACAGUCGGGGGAUGACGGUACCGGAAGAAUAAGCACCGGCUAACUACGUGCCAGCAGCCGCGGUAAUACGUAGGGUGCAAGCGUUAAUCGGAAUUACUGGGCGUAAAGCGUGCGCAGGCGGUUUGCUAAGACCGAUGUGAAAUCCCCGGGCUCAACCUGGGAACUGCAUUGGUGACUGGCAGGCUAGAGUAUGGCAGAGGGGGGUAGAAUUCCACGUGUAGCAGUGAAAUGCGUAGAGAUGUGGAGGAAUACCGAUGGCGAAGGCAGCCCCCUGGGCCAAUACUGACGCUCAUGCACGAAAGCGUGGGGAGCAAACAGGAUUAGAUACCCUGGUAGUCCACGCCCAUAAACGAUGUCAACUAGUUGUUGGGGACUUCAUUUCCUUAGUAACGUAGCUAACGCGUGAAGUUGACCGCCUGGGGA
RNAcentral lists this ribosomal RNA (533 nucleotides) under uncultured bacterium. Its description in RNAcentral is "partial 16S ribosomal RNA". It matches the Rfam family "Bacterial small subunit ribosomal RNA", at positions 355 to 879 of the family's 1533-position model. The record is from RNAcentral.